This is a long non-coding RNA of Herpailurus yagouaroundi (jaguarundi), 756 nucleotides long. RefSeq lists it as uncharacterized. The record is from RefSeq and is a predicted model, not a curated record. The transcript has 4 exons. NCBI's taxonomy places the organism in Eukaryota, Metazoa, Chordata, Mammalia, Carnivora, Felidae.
AAGAACUCUGCUUCUCCUCUGGUUUUGCUUUGUAGGGGGAGAAGGCAGCCGUGUCUGAAGCCAGGCCAAUGAUGACUGUGGUGGUUGGUGCUUGCCCAAGCCCUCCUUUACACUCUUAUCCCCUCCUUCCUCACUGUGACUCUGUCUCUGCUCAAUCAACACAACCGGAAGUUUCAUUCCAGGAGCCCUGGUGGUGCAGAGGUUCCUUGGCUGCCCUACUAACUAAAUUGACAGAAGACAGAGUAAGGAGCUACCCAGAGGGCUGCACGGUCAGGAUCCAUGCUGUGGCCGCGUUUCUUCUGGAUGCCUGAUUUGGGCCACGUUGUCAUGAUUCCAUCAGAGGAGUGAGCCUUUUGCAGGGGUUUGAGCAGAGGAGAGACAUGACCUGACUCACUGCUGUGAUGAUGCUUGACCGUGGGGAGCUGAGGUAGAACAAAGAAGAUCAAUCAGGUGAGAGGCAAGGGAAUGGACGUAAUCAGGGGUCUGGCUUGGAUGACUGUGUGUAUGGUGGUGUACGCACUAGGAAAAGCAAUCAAGGAGAAAGAGGAGGCUUGAGAUGAGGGGAGUGAUGAUGAUUUCUCAUCUAAUUUAUUCCCAUCAGAUUUUUCUACCUCUUCAUAGCCUAACUCCAUAGCGCUCCCUGUCCCUCACCUUCCAUUUACUUGUCAACACUUUACAAUCUGAUUAUUGCACCUCUUUCAGUCUUUCUUGAGGGCUCCUCUUCCUUGGCCAGUGCUUAAAUGUUUUUGCUCUCCA